AAAAAUAUAGGGAAAAAAGUACAAAAAACUUCUUCAGAUAUGACCUGUUCAAAAUCAUGCAAAAUCCACUUUCACCGUCCUAAGAGCCCAAAGGUUUGAGAACACCAAGCGCUCAGGCUCCUGACAGCAGCAUGGCAGAACUUGAUCUUCACCACACAGAUGUUGGGUUGAACCAGCAGGGAUGAAGAACAGGCUGCCCGGCUGUACUUCCACAGGGCUGAAACCACAGUCACAAAACAGGGCCACUGAGCCCCAGGGGACAGCUCAGCCAGUUGAAAGGCACAUUAGCAAUGCCUUUCUGCACUGGAGAAGCCUGAGAGUGCUCACAUGACUUGCAAGUUGGGUUUUGGGCUUCUUUGCCAAUAGCAAGGAGGAAGCUGACCUCACCAUAUCAGUCUGAACUCUUUUUUUUUUUUUUCUUUUUUCUUUCUUAAAUACAUUAAAUAUUAACCAUUUCACAAAUACUGGGGGCAAAUUGCUGCCAGGACAAAGUUCCCCGCUUGACAACAAGUGGUGCCUAAGGAAGAUCGACUGGUGAUGGGAGUCUCCUCCCUCUAGCACUUCCACCAGCAACUGCAGAGAAAACUCUCUGAGCUCUGAUGUGCCUUUCAGAGGGCACGGGGCCUCUCCAAAAGGCAGAGCCACAACAAAAGCCUUCCUGGAGGACUUCUGCUAAUUCCUCACACAGCACAGCUGCCAACCAUUGGUACCUCGCUGCUGCUACCCACCUCCUCCCCCCUCACUAAACUCUCAGCGCCCAGCCCCGUAUCCAGGAGAACCACCUCUCCCACUCUCUUCUGAGCUUCCUCUGGCCCUCCUCCAGGACUCCCAGCNCCACCUCUCCCACUCUCUUCUGAGCUUCCUCUGGCCCUCCUCCAGGACUCCCAGCAUGCCCCUGCCUUGCCUACACCUGCAGCCAGCGGUGCACAGCUGCACUCAGGGCUUCCCCGCAAGACACGCGUCCGGACGGACAGACGGCACCAAGCCUCCAUCCUCUGCCACUGCUGGACACAGCUCCUCUCAGACCACAUGGCCACUUCUGGAAAAGUUAUCCGAUGCAGAGCUGCAGUUGCCUGGGCAGCGGGCAAAUCACUCUCUGUUGAGGAGAUAGAGGUUGCACCUCCAAAGGCAC
Molecule: long non-coding RNA, 1132 nt
Filed under: Coturnix japonica (Japanese quail)
Lineage: Eukaryota; Metazoa; Chordata; Aves; Galliformes; Phasianidae
Description: lncRNA (ENSCJPG00005006945.1)
Source: RNAcentral